RNAcentral lists this long non-coding RNA (536 nucleotides) under Cyanistes caeruleus (blue tit). Its description in RNAcentral is "lncRNA (ENSCCEG00000010293.1)". The record is from RNAcentral. Lineage: Eukaryota; Metazoa; Chordata; Aves; Passeriformes; Paridae.
GUGAGGGAGGGUGCGAGACAGCGCAGCGAGUGUGACAGUGCGGGCCGUGGUGCCACCUUCCUCCUCAGCAGCAGCCCGUGGGCUGGUUCUUCUCGUCCUUUCUGUUUUCUCCCCUUCUGCAUUAGCCAUGAAAGACUGCUGUAGGCGGCUGUGCCUGGCGAAGUUGCAGCCUGUGUUCUCAUAAAUUAGGAAUUUCAUCCCUGCAGUCUGCCAGCCUCUGAAAGUAAACAGGGUGCAUGCAGAUACACAGAAUUCCUCACAGGCUGAACCAUUUGGAGUGUGAUCAACAUGAUGCUGGAUGGUGCAGCCCUGAGGUGCUAACCAAUCUACCUGUUUUUCUUCUUACUGCUCUUCUGGAUCUUCUUACUUCUACUGGAUCUUAUUGUUCUUACUACCAGCUGUUGAACAAGAAUACUCACAGGCUUAUUGACUCAGGUGAGUCCUGCUACACUUUUUUUAUUCUUCUGCAAAUCUUACUGCUUAUUAGCAUUUUAUUCCAGCCCAGUUGUUACCAAAUUGCAGAUGAUAUCUGGUAG